This 471-nucleotide ribosomal RNA is filed under the name uncultured bacterium. Its description in RNAcentral is "bacterial SSU rRNA". It matches the Rfam family "Bacterial small subunit ribosomal RNA", at positions 26 to 507 of the family's 1533-position model. The record is from RNAcentral.
AGAUUGAACGCUGGCGCAGGCCUAACACAUGCAAGUCGAGCGGGUUUCGGACCUAGCGGCGGACGGGUGAGUAAUGCGUAGGAAGCUACCCGACAGAGGGGGAUACCAGUUGGAAACGACUGUUAAUACCGCAUAAUGUCUACGGACCAAAGUGUGGGACCUUCGGGCCACAUGCUGUCGGAUGCGCCUACGUGGGAUUAGCUAGUUGGUGAGGUAAUGGCUCACCAAGGCGACGAUCCCUAGCUGGUUUGAGAGGAUGAUCAGCCACACUGGAACUGAGACACGGUCCAGACUCCUACGGGAGGCAGCAGUGGGGAAUAUUGGACAAUGGGCGCAAGCCUGAUCCAGCCAUGCCGCGUGUGUGAAGAAGGCCUUCGGGUUGUAAAGCACUUUCAGCGAGGAGGAAGGGUUGUGUGUUAAUAGCACAUAGCCUUGACGUUACUCGCAGAAGAAGCACCGGCUAACUCUGUG